Molecule: ribosomal RNA, 1545 nt
Filed under: Triticum aestivum (bread wheat)
Lineage: Eukaryota; Viridiplantae; Streptophyta; Magnoliopsida; Poales; Poaceae
Description: partial small subunit ribosomal RNA
Source: RNAcentral
AUGGCUGCGCGGGUGGCCAAGUCCCUGCUCCUCGUCCUCUUCCUCUCGUCCUGCUCUGCCGCCGCCGUGGCCAUCCGGACGCACGGCCGUGGCUACGUGUCGGCGGUCGGCGACCCUGGCAUGCAGCGCGACGGCCUCCGCGUGGCCUGGGAGGCCUGGAACUUCUGCAACGAGGUCGGCGAGGAGGCCCUCGGCAUGGGCAGCCCGCGCGGCGCCGACUGCUUUGACAUCCAGGCCGCCGACGACGAGCAGGGCCAGCCCGUGUACAAGGUGGUGCACCGCGUGACCGACGCCGACAACGCGCUCCGCGCCGGCGACCCGUUCCCCGGCACAUCGGCGAACUCCACCGUCACCGACACCGACCGCUACGCGGCGGCCAAGGAGCUCUACCUCGGCGACCGGUGCCAGGUGCCCGACAGCCCGGUGCCGUGGCAGUUCUGGAUGGUGAUGCUCAAGAACGGCAACCUGGACACGACGGCGGCCAUCUGCCCCGACAAUGGCCGCCCGGCGCGCCCGUUCGCGCAGACCUCCCGGUUCCCCUGCCCCGGCGGCACGGGGUGCAUGAACCAGCCGCUGGUGUUCCACAACCGCACCGCGCUGGACGACGCCGGCCGGUGGCUCCGCGGCGGGCUGUUCGGCACGUACGAGCUGGACGCCACGGAUCUCGGGAGCAGCGACGUGUCCUACUACUCGGUGGUGUGGGAGAAGCAGAUCGGCCCGGCGGGCGGCGCCGGCUGGGCCUUCCACCACAAGCUGCGGACGUCGGCCAAGUACCCCUGGCUGAUGCUGUACCUCCGGUCCGACGCCACCAGGGGCUUCUCCGGCGGCUACCACUACGACACCAGAGGCAUGACAAAGAUAGUGCCGGAGUCGCCGGAUUUCAAGGUGAGGCUGACGCUGGAGGUGAAGCAGGGCGGGGGGCCGAACAGCCAGUUCUACCUGAUGGACAUGGGCAGCUGCUGGAAGAACGACGGCGCGGCGUGCGACGGCGACACGGCCACGGAUGUGACCCGGUACAGCGAGAUGAUCAUCAACCCGGAGACGCCGGCGUGGUGCCAGCCGGGGCGGAGGGACCAGUGCCCGCCGUGGCACACGUUCCGCAACGGCACGCGCGUGCACCGCGACGACGCCGCGCGGUUCCCCUACGCCGCCUACCACGUCUACUGCUCGCCGGGGAACGCGCGGCACGCCGAGCAGCCGACGACGUACUGCGACCCCUACAGCAACCCGCAGCCGCAGGAGAUCCUGCAGAUCGUGCCGCACCCGGUGUGGGGCGAGUUCGGGUACCCCACGGCAAGGGGGCAGGGCUGGAUCGGCGACCCCAGGGCGUGGGAGCUCGACGUCGGGGCCUUGUCGCACGCGCUGUAUUUCUACCAGGAUCCGGGCACGCCGCCGGCGAGGAGGCGGUGGUCGUCGCUUGACGUCGGCACCGAGAUAUACGUCAGCAAGAAGGCGGAGGCGGAGUGGACGCUGAGUGGGUUCGACAUUCUUGUUCCCAACAAGUGUAUCGCAUCGCAAGGGGGAACCGUCAGUAGUUGUUGGUAG